RNAcentral lists this ribosomal RNA (332 nucleotides) under Carcinus maenas (green crab). RNAcentral's name for it is "partial 12S ribosomal RNA". It matches the Rfam family "Microsporidia small subunit ribosomal RNA", at positions 765 to 1197 of the family's 1311-position model. Lineage: Eukaryota; Metazoa; Arthropoda; Malacostraca; Decapoda; Carcinidae. The record is from RNAcentral.
AUAAGCUUUAAAUUUAAAGAAUUUGGCGGUGGUUUAGUCCCGUUAGAGGAACCUGUUUCUUAAUCGAUACUCCUCGUAUAAUCUUACUUAAGCUUGUAAUCAGCAUGUAUACCAUCAUUAUUAGAUAAUUCUUAUAGGAUAAUUAUUAAAUAGGCCGAUAAUGUUGAAUAUAUUAGAUCAAGGUGCAGCUAAUGCUUAAGUGUAAAUGGGUUACAAUAAAAUUUAUUUUAUAUGGAUUACUAAAAGAAUAUUUAGUAUAAAAGUGGAUUUAAUUGUAAAAAAAGUUUAAUAUGCUUUUUUUAUAUAGGCUCUAAGCCGUGUACACAUCGCCC